RNAcentral lists this unclassified non-coding RNA (345 nucleotides) under soil metagenome. RNAcentral describes it as "partial contains 5.8S ribosomal RNA, internal transcribed spacer 2, and large subunit ribosomal RNA". The stretch from base 1 to 120 matches the Rfam family "5.8S ribosomal RNA", at positions 35 to 154 of the family's 154-position model. The record is from RNAcentral.
GAUGAAGAACGCAGCAAAAUGCGAUAAGUAAUGUGAAUUGCAGAAUUCAGUGAAUCAUCGAAUCUUUGAACGCACAUUGCGCCCGCUGGUAUUCCGGCGGGCAUGCCUGUUCGAGCGUCAUUUCAACCCUCAAGCCCCCGGGUUUGGUGUUGGGGAUCGGCUCUGCCCUUCUGGGCGGUGCCGCCCCCGAAAUACAUUGGCGGUCUCGCUGCAGCCUCCAUUGCGUAGUAGCUAACACCUCGCAACUGGAACGCGGCGCGGCCAUGCCGUAAAACCCCAACUUCUGAAUGUUGACCUCGGAUCAGGUAGGAAUACCCGCUGAACUUAAGCAUAUCAAUAGGAGGA